Molecule: ribosomal RNA, 2315 nt
Filed under: Escherichia coli
Lineage: Bacteria; Pseudomonadati; Pseudomonadota; Gammaproteobacteria; Enterobacterales; Enterobacteriaceae
Description: partial 23S ribosomal RNA
Rfam family: Bacterial large subunit ribosomal RNA
Source: RNAcentral
UGUAUAAUGGGUCAGCGACUUAUAUUCUGUAGCAAGGUUAACCGAAUAGGGGAGCCGAAGGGAAACCGAGUCUUAACUGGGCGUUAAGUUGCAGGGUAUAGACCCGAAACCCGGUGAUCUAGCCAUGGGCAGGUUGAAGGUUGGGUAACACUAACUGGAGGACCGAACCGACUAAUGUUGAAAAAUUAGCGGAUGACUUGUGGCUGGGGGUGAAAGGCCAAUCAAACCGGGAGAUAGCUGGUUCUCCCCGAAAGCUAUUUAGGUAGCGCCUCGUGAAUUCAUCUCCGGGGGUAGAGCACUGUUUCGGCAAGGGGGUCAUCCCGACUUACCAACCCGAUGCAAACUGCGAAUACCGGAGAAUGUUAUCACGGGAGACACACGGCGGGUGCUAACGUCCGUCGUGAAGAGGGAAACAACCCAGACCGCCAGCUAAGGUCCCAAAGUCAUGGUUAAGUGGGAAACGAUGUGGGAAGGCCCAGACAGCCAGGAUGUUGGCUUAGAAGCAGCCAUCAUUUAAAGAAAGCGUAAUAGCUCACUGGUCGAGUCGGCCUGCGCGGAAGAUGUAACGGGGCUAAACCAUGCACCGAAGCUGCGGCAGCGACACUAUGUGUUGUUGGGUAGGGGAGCGUUCUGUAAGCCUGUGAAGGUGGCCUGUGAGGGUUGCUGGAGGUAUCAGAAGUGCGAAUGCUGACAUAAGUAACGAUAAAGCGGGUGAAAAGCCCGCUCGCCGGAAGACCAAGGGUUCCUGUCCAACGUUAAUCGGGGCAGGGUGAGUCGACCCCUAAGGCGAGGCCGAAAGGCGUAGUCGAUGGGAAACAGGUUAAUAUUCCUGUACUUGGUGUUACUGCGAAGGGGGGACGGAGAAGGCUAUGUUGGCCGGGCGACGGUUGUCCCGGUUUAAGCGUGUAGGCUGGUUUUCCAGGCAAAUCCGGAAAACCAAGGCUGAGGCGUGAUGACGAGGCACUACGGUGCUGAAGCGACAAAUGCCCUGCUUCCAGGAAAAGCCUCUAAGCAUCAGGUAACAUCAAAUCGUACCCCAAACCGACACAGGUGGUCAGGUAGAGAAUACCAAGGCGCUUGAGAGAACUCGGGUGAAGGAACUAGGCAAAAUGGUGCCGUAACUUCGGGAGAAGGCACGCUGAUAUGUAGGUGAAGCGACUUGCUCGUGGAGCUGAAAUCAGUCGAAGAUACCAGCUGGCUGCAACUGUUUAUUAAAAACACAGCACUGUGCAAACACGAAAGUGGACGUAUACGGUGUGACGCCUGCCCGGUGCCGGAAGGUUAAUUGAUGGGGUUAGCGGCAACGCGAAGCUCUUGAUCGAAGCCCCGGUAAACGGCGGCCGUAACUAUAACGGUCCUAAGGUAGCGAAAUUCCUUGUCGGGUAAGUUCCGACCUGCACGAAUGGCGUAAUGAUGGCCAGGCUGUCUCCACCCGAGACUCAGUGAAAUUGAACUCGCUGUGAAGAUGCAGUGUACCCGCGGCAAGACGGAAAGACCCCGUGAACCUUUACUAUAGCUUGACACUGAACAUUGAGCCUUGAUGUGUAGGAUAGGUGGGAGGCUUUGAAGUGUGGACGCCAGUCUGCAUGGAGCCGACCUUGAAAUACCACCCUUUAAUGUUUGAUGUUCUAACGUUGGCCCGUAAUCCGGGUUGCGGACAGUGUCUGGUGGGUAGUUUGACUGGGGCGGUCUCCUCCUAAAGAGUAACGGAGGAGCACGAAGGUUGGCUAAUCCUGGUCGGACAUCAGGAGGUUAGUGCAAUGGCAUAAGCCAGCUUGACUGCGAGCGUGACGGCGCGAGCAGGUGCGAAAGCAGGUCAUAGUGAUCCGGUGGUUCUGAAUGGAAGGGCCAUCGCUCAACGGAUAAAAGGUACUCCGGGGAUAACAGGCUGAUACCGCCCAAGAGUUCAUAUCGACGGCGGUGUUUGGCACCUCGAUGUCGGCUCAUCACAUCCUGGGGCUGAAGUAGGUCCCAAGGGUAUGGCUGUUCGCCAUUUAAAGUGGUACGCGAGCUGGGUUUAGAACGUCGUGAGACAGUUCGGUCCCUAUCUGCCGUGGGCGCUGGAGAACUGAGGGGGGCUGCUCCUAGUACGAGAGGACCGGAGUGGACGCAUCACUGGUGUUCGGGUUGUCAUGCCAAUGGCACUGCCCGGUAGCUAAAUGCGGAAGAGAUAAGUGCUGAAAGCAUCUAAGCACGAAACUUGCCCCGAGAUGAGUUCUCCCUGACUCCUUGAGAGUCCUGAAGGAACGUUGAAGACGACGACGUUGAUAGGCCGGGUGUGUAAGCGCAGCGAUGCGUUGAGCUAACCGGUACUA